AGAGUGAACGCUGGCGGUAGGCCUAACACAUGCAAGUCGAGCGGUAGAGAGGUGCUUGCACCUCUUGAGAGCGGCGGACGGGUGAGUAAUGCCUAGGAAUCUGCCUAGUGGUGGGGGAUAACGUUCGGAAACGGACGCUAAUACCGCAUACGUCCUACGGGAGAAAGCGGGGGACCUUCGGGCCUCGCGCCAUUAGAUGAGCCUAGGUCGGAUUAGCUAGUUGGUGAGGUAAUGGCUCACCAAGGCGACGAUCCGUAACUGGUCUGAGAGGAUGAUCAGUCACACUGGAACUGAGACACGGUCCAGACUCCUACGGG
RNAcentral lists this ribosomal RNA (317 nucleotides) under uncultured soil bacterium. Its description in RNAcentral is "bacterial SSU rRNA". It matches the Rfam family "Bacterial small subunit ribosomal RNA", at positions 26 to 345 of the family's 1533-position model. The record is from RNAcentral.